This 73-nucleotide transfer RNA is filed under the name Stegodyphus mimosarum. It matches the Rfam family "tRNA". From Rfam's summary of the family: Transfer RNA (tRNA) molecules are approximately 80 nucleotides in length. Their secondary structure includes four short double-helical elements and three loops (D, anti-codon, and T loops). The record is from Rfam by way of RNAcentral. Lineage: Eukaryota; Metazoa; Arthropoda; Arachnida; Araneae; Eresidae.
GCCUUCUUGGUGUAAUGGUGAGCACUCUCGACGUGUAUUCGAGAGGUCCGAAGUUCGAAUCCCGGCGACGGCA